Molecule: long non-coding RNA, 1589 nt
Organism: Gadus morhua (Atlantic cod)
Lineage: Eukaryota; Metazoa; Chordata; Actinopteri; Gadiformes; Gadidae
Source: Ensembl
CACUUUGCUGUCUAACCUGACAACUGUACAAUGCUUGUCAUCAAAUUUGUAUUAGGGUUGUUGCGCAACAAUUGAUGCCUGGCACCUGGACCGAGGAGACUGGCUUGGACAUUGAGGUAAUAAUUGCUGAGAUAACAAGCACGUCAGGAAAAUGUGUGUAGGGCUAUGACUGUUCAUCUUACAACCUGUUUUAUGGCACAGGGUGUUCCACAACAACUAUAUGGCAUCGACUGUGGAGUCUUUAUGGUCAUGUUGGAUAUGCCUCAUCUCAUAAGGUGGUGGUGCAAGCUCCUUUUGGACAACUACGGGAUCGAAGGAUGUGGCAAAAGAUUCUGUCAUUUCACCCAAGAAGGACACCAGAUGGUGAAUGGACUCCUGGCACCGGUGUUCCGGGUAACACGGAAGCGGAAGGUUUUGACCAAGGUAAGAAGUUAUGUUUCUUAUAUACACCUAUUGCUGUAAUAUUACUUUAUAUACACAUCUUUUGCAGCUAUUACAGCUGUAACUCAUCUGGGAAGGCUCUCCGACAAGUGUAGGACUUGUGUCUUGUACAUGUCUGUAUCAGUAUGUUAAUGUUUUACGCUGUGUGUGUUGAGUGAAUGUGUCUGAGCGAGUGUAAAUUUGUGUACCAGCAUAUUAAUUUACUGCACUGUGUGUGUGUGUGCGUGUGUGUGUGUGUGUGUGUGUGUGUGUGUGUGUGUGUGUGUGUGUGUGUGUGGCACCUACACCUUUCAAAAAACGCUGGCCUGACGACCAGGAGGAUAUAAAUGACUAAAAACUAAUCAUUCCUGUUUAUAAUCUAUUUUUCUCAAUAAAAAGAGGUUUAAAAAAAAAAAAUAGUAAAAAGUGUCUCCCUCUCUCUCUCUCUCUGGGCCCCCGAAAUAUUGUAGAAGGGGCCCCUGCGAGAUGUUUGGCUGCGGCCCCCCCCCCCCCCCCCCCCCCCCCCCACACACACACACACACACACAUCCGCUCUGCCUCUGGGUCCCAAUUCUGGGGGCCCUCUUCUCCGUCCCCUUAAUUUUGUACUUUUUUUUGUGUUACCUUAUACCUGCCAAUGCCUCUUGUGUUUCCCAUUUUUAAUAAUAAUUGUAUCCCUUAAUGUUAUUGCACAUAUUUUGUAUUUACUUUUUUAUUUACUUUAAAUGCUUUGUGUAAUGACCUUCCCUUUCUCUAUAAUAAAAAAAUGUAGCCUACCCUUAUGGCCUGAGUCAUGUUUCCCUUACUAAGAAUUCCCUAUCGUAUGCAUAAGUAUUGUCUGUAAACAAUACAAGUGGAAUAGGGGCGAAAAUGUACAAUUCUAAGGCUUGUAUCCUUUAAGUAACUUUACUUUGUCCCUCUGUUAAGCCAAGUAUAUGCAUUUGACAUCACAGUUAUCAGUAAAUGCAAAUUCGGUUUCUCUUCAUUACUCUUUGGUCAGCCUGACAUUUUCAGAGUAAAUUCCAAUCAAUAUUUUUGUGAAUAUUAAGAGCCAGAAUUUAAAUGACACCGCCCAUGAGCAAAAUAUUACACUAACUUUUUAACUCCACUGUUACAGUAAAUUGACUCCCUCCCGUAGCCUACAAACACCAGGCAAUAUCUGGACUUAC